This 481-nucleotide ribosomal RNA is filed under the name uncultured bacterium. Its description in RNAcentral is "partial 16S ribosomal RNA". It matches the Rfam family "Bacterial small subunit ribosomal RNA", at positions 31 to 507 of the family's 1533-position model. The record is from RNAcentral.
GAACGCUGGCGGCAGGCCUAACACAUGCAAGUCGAGCGGAUGAAGGGAGCUUGCUCCUGGAUUCAGCGGCGGACGGGUGAGUAAUGCCUAGGAAUCUGCCUGGUAGUGGGGGAUAACGUCCGGAAACGGGCGCUAAUACCGCAUACGUCCUGAGGGAGAAAGUGGGGGAUCUUCGGACCUCACGCUAUCAGAUGAGCCUAGGUCGGAUUAGCUAGUUGGUGGGGUAAAGGCCUACCAAGGCGACGAUCCGUAACUGGUCUGAGAGGAUGAUCAGUCACACUGGAACUGAGACACGGUCCAGACUCCUACGGGAGGCAGCAGUGGAGAAUAUUGGACAAUGGGCGAAAGCCUGAUCCAGCCAUGCCGCGUGUGUGAAGAAGGUCUUCGGAUUGUAAAGCACUUUAAGUUGGGAGGAAGGGCAGUAAGUUAAUACCUUGCUGUUUUGACGUUACCAACAGAAUAAGCACCGGCUAACUUCGUG